RNAcentral lists this ribosomal RNA (500 nucleotides) under uncultured bacterium. Its description in RNAcentral is "partial 16S ribosomal RNA". It matches the Rfam family "Bacterial small subunit ribosomal RNA", at positions 355 to 832 of the family's 1533-position model. The record is from RNAcentral.
UGGGGAAUUUUGGACAAUGGGCGAAAGCCUGAUCCAGCAAUGCCGCGUGUGUGAAGAAGGCCUUCGGGUUGUAAAGCACUUUUGUCCGGAAAGAAAAUCCUUGGCUCUAAUACAGUCGGGGGAUGACGGUACCGGAAGAAUAAGCACCGGCUAAACUACGUGCCAGCAGCCGCGGUAAUACGUAGGGUGCAAGCGUUAAUCGGAAUUACUGGGCGUAAAAGCGUGCGCAGGCGGUUUGCUAAGACCGAUGUGAAAUCCCCGGGCUCAACCUGGGAACUGCAUUGGUGACUGGCAGGCUAGAGUAUGGCAGAGGGGGGUAGAAUUCCACGUGUAGCAAGUGAAAAUGCGUAGAGAUGUGGAGGAAAUACCGAUGGCGAAAGGCAGCCCCCUGGGCCAAAUACUGACGCUCAUGCACGAAAAGCGUGGGGGAGCAAAAACAAGGAUUAGAUACCCUGGUAGUCCACGCCCUAAAACGAUGUCAAACUAGUUGUUGGGGAUUC